This is a long non-coding RNA of Sinocyclocheilus anshuiensis, 177 nucleotides long. RefSeq lists it as uncharacterized. The transcript is spliced from 3 exons. The record is from RefSeq and is a predicted model, not a curated record. NCBI's taxonomy places the organism in Eukaryota, Metazoa, Chordata, Actinopteri, Cypriniformes, Cyprinidae.
AGGUGCUGAAUUCUCCUGACUGACUGCAGGCUGAAGAGGCUGUAUUUAUGGCUCAGUAUGACCAACUCGAGGACAAAGAUUCGCUGGAUAUUCAUGAUAACCCUCCAGCUCCAGACAAUGUUGUAAAGGAGGACGACAACACUGUUUACUUUGUGUAUGAUGAAGAGGUGGAGGAAG